AUUGAACGCUGGCGGCAUGCCUUACACAUGCAAGUCGAACGGCAGCACGGGUGCUUGCACCUGGUGGCGAGUGGCGAACGGGUGAGUAAUACAUCGGAACAUGUCCUGUAGUGGGGGAUAGCCCGGCGAAAGCCGGAUUAAUACCGCAUACGAUCUACGGAUGAAAGCGGGGGACCUUCGGGCCUCGCGCUAAAGGGUUGGCCGAUGGCUGAUUAGCUAGUUGGUGGGGUAAAGGCCUACCAAGGCGACGAUCAGUAGCUGGUCUGAGAGGACGACCAGCCACACUGGGACUGAGACACGGCCCAGACUCCUACGGGAGGCAGCAGUGGGGAAUUUUGGACAAUGGGCGAAAGCCUGAUCCAGCAAUGCCGCGUGUGUGAAGAAGGCCUUCGGGUUGUAAAGCACUUUUGUCCGGAAAGAAAUCCUUGGCCCUAAUACGGUCGGGGGAUGACGGUACCGGAAGAAUAAGCACCGGCUAACUACGUG
Molecule: ribosomal RNA, 486 nt
Filed under: uncultured bacterium
Lineage: Bacteria
Description: partial 16S ribosomal RNA
Rfam family: Bacterial small subunit ribosomal RNA
Source: RNAcentral